This 176-nucleotide unclassified non-coding RNA is filed under the name soil metagenome. RNAcentral describes it as "partial internal transcribed spacer 1". The record is from RNAcentral.
AAGUAUUCUUCGGUGCAGCCAGCGCUUCCACAGCGCGGCAGCCCAAACCCUACACACUGUGAUUAGUUUUUUUACUAUUUACUUUGGCUGCGCAAGUGGCCAAAGGUCUUAAACACAAAGAUUUAUAUCUUUUUUUACAAAAUUUAGUCAAUGAAGUUUUAAUACUAUAAUCUUCA